Molecule: ribosomal RNA, 465 nt
Filed under: uncultured bacterium
Lineage: Bacteria
Description: partial 16S ribosomal RNA
Rfam family: Bacterial small subunit ribosomal RNA
Source: RNAcentral
CUACGGGGGGCUCCAGUCGAGAGGCUUCGUCAAUGGGGGCAACCCUGAACGAGCGACGCCGCGUGAGCGAUGAAGGUCGUAAGAUCGUAAAGCUCUGUUAGUGGGGAAGAAACCCCGGGGUGCUAAUACCACCACGGCUUGACGUUACCCACAAAGAAAGCUCCGGCUAACUCCGUGCCAGCAGCCGCGGUAACACGGGGGGAGCAAACGUUGUUCGGAAUCACUGGGCGUAAAGGGUGCGUAGGCGGCCAGAUAAGUCAGAGGUGAAAGUUUCCGGCUCAACCGGGAGAUUGCCUUUGAUACUGUUUGGCUUGAAUCAGAUUGAGGUUGGCGGAAUGUGACAUGUAGCGGUGAAAUGCAUAGAUAUGUCAUAGAACAUCGAUUGCGAAGGCAGCUGGCUGGAUCUGUAUUGACGCUGAGGCACGAAAGCGUGGGUAGCAAACAGGAUUAGAUACCCUUGUAGUC